GGGGAUGUAGCUCAGUUGGCUAGAGCGCUUGACUGGCAGUCAAGAGGUCGUGGGUUCGAGCCCCAUCUUCUCCA
Molecule: transfer RNA, 74 nt
Filed under: Flavobacteriaceae bacterium
Lineage: Bacteria; Pseudomonadati; Bacteroidota; Flavobacteriia; Flavobacteriales; Flavobacteriaceae
Also listed under: 5 other names
Description: tRNA-Ala
Rfam family: tRNA
About the family: Transfer RNA (tRNA) molecules are approximately 80 nucleotides in length.
Source: RNAcentral